GACGAACGCUGGCGGCGUGCCUAACACAUGCAAGUCGAACGGAGUCGGCCCCGCAAGGGACUGACUUAGUGGCGAACGGGUGAGUAACGCGUGAGCAACCUGCCUUUCAGUGGGGGACAACAGUUGGAAACGACUGCUAAUACCGCAUAAUGCAUUUUGACCGCAUGAUCGAGAUGCCAAAGAUUUAUUGCUGAAAGAUGGGCUCGCGUCUGAUUAGAUAGUUGGUGGGGUAACGGCCCACCAAGUCGAC
RNAcentral lists this ribosomal RNA (250 nucleotides) under uncultured bacterium. RNAcentral's name for it is "partial 16S ribosomal RNA". It matches the Rfam family "Bacterial small subunit ribosomal RNA", at positions 28 to 277 of the family's 1533-position model. The record is from RNAcentral.